Long non-coding RNA from Solenopsis invicta (red fire ant), 7494 nucleotides. RefSeq lists it as uncharacterized. The record is from RefSeq and is a predicted model, not a curated record. NCBI's taxonomy places the organism in Eukaryota, Metazoa, Arthropoda, Insecta, Hymenoptera, Formicidae. The transcript has 2 exons.
UAGUCUCACAGACGGGGUCGGGUGCGCGGCAGACGGUGUGUUAAUUAAAACGAUACCACCCGUCGGCACGCGCGCGAAUUCAAAUUUCGCACAUAUGUCGAAUCUGUGCUUCGUACACGAGCCCUUCUCUCGCGUACGACACUUUUUCCGCUACGCGUUAAUUAAUCUUCUCUUAAAUCUCAAAUUAUGACCACACAGGACGAGUGUGAAUUAUUUGUAUAAUAUUAAAAAUGGGUCUCGCAUACUUCAAAACAUUAUCAAAAAUAUAAUAAUAUUCUAGCAUUACACAUGUGAGUGCCUGUGUAAAAUUUGAGCAAUUCACCGAUGGUUUAAGAGUUAUUUAACUUUUUGUUUAAUCUUGAUUCUUAUGUAAUUUACAUAUACUAAUUAAAAUCUAAUAAAUAUUCGUGCAAAAAUUUAUUGAGAUCCACUUGCUCGUUUAAAAGUUGUUUAUCUAAAACUGCAACAAAAUAAUAGUCAUUUUUGUUGCAAAAAUCAUUACAAAUCAAAUUUUUCAUUGUUUCUUUUUUUUUUGCAACUAAUUUCAGGGUCAAAAUUCAGGAAUUUGCAACCAAAAUUUUUUGUUUUUAAUUAAGAAAAAAAAAGAAUAAAUCUAGAGAAGCCUUCAACUUUCAAAUUUCAAUAAUUUUUAGCUCAUAAUGUAUACGAUCAAAAUAUGCAUUUUUAAAAUGCUACUUUGGUAUAUUUUUAAUUCUUUCCCUUAGCUUCUAGCAUUCAACAUAAUCUUUUAUUCAUUUUUUAUUCAUUAUUUCUCUACUUAUACAAAACAGUGUUUAAAUUCCUAGAGUAAAUAUAAAAUCGUGUGCGAAAAGAAACCAAUUCAGACGAGAAAUUAAUACAAGUUUGAAAUUAUUCUCGAUUAAUGAUAUAUAUAUUCUCGAUCGCAAUCGGACUGCCAUGUUUCGCGUCCGGUGACAAUGUCUUGCUAUCUACAGAAAUCCCACCGUACAAAUGCUGUCGGUAUUCGUAAAGAGUAAUGUCAAGUCUACCCUCUCUUCGAUCAACGUCGCACGGCACGUUCGAGCCCGUUGAGGAGCCAGCGUACGGCGGCAACGUUCGUCACGACGAGUCAGCACGUUUUGUAGGAGGGCUUCGUGGACGGGCCUUGGUGCUCAGUAUGCAAGCUCGGUGGUGGCCGCAUCCGUCGUCGUCGGUGCGCCUCGACAAAGGGAGUUGUGCCGCAGGCGGCCGUUUCUACAUUUUAAAGCGUUUCAAGAGGGAACCGUGUCACCAUCAUUCGCGACAGAAAACAUCACGGUUGCACCACGCUUCUCGUCGACGUCUUCGGAUUGCAUCGCACCGCACCGCGUUGCUUUCAUCGAUCUACGAGAGUUUGGAGCGUAGAAAUCAACAAGAUAAAACAUUGAUAUAAUUAAUAAUAAAUAAUGUUUAGAAAUUAUUUUUUCCUGUUUACUUCACGUUAAUGUCCAAUACUUUUUAAAUUAUAAAAAUUUCAAUAAAUAUUUUAAAAAGCUACAACAUUUAUUUUUUUGGAGGCAGUCCAUUAAUUUAUCGCAGUGAUAUAUCGAAGAUUAAAAAAUGCUUAAAAUAAUGUCGUUUUAAAUACAAAAUUAUGAAAUGUUAGAUUUUAUAGCAUCUUUUUUAAUAACUUUUUAAUUUUUAUUGCAUACAUUUUGCUAACAAAGAUUUAAAUUGGAAAUCAAAUUGAACUGUGAAAUUAAACAAAGCGUAACGUUAUUUUUUUAUACAGCUAAAUAUGCAUUUUAAUUCACGAUCAUUUCUUAGUUUUCAAUGAUUCACGUCGGUGCGUUGAUAUUGAAACAAAUGAUCCUUCUUGUUUUCAAGUAUCCCAAAGAGAAAGCGUAUAAUACUUAGGAGUAUCUUGUGCAACACCACACCAUACACGAAGCAAGCUAAAAAAUGUCUAAAUUAUACCAUUAUUUUCCUACCACCUACUACUCGAGUACCGUUAUUCGGUACCAGAUUGCCGUCAUUGCGGAGUAACAGUAACGCCCGGCGCACGCGGUGCCUCCUUGAAAAAUGCUUAAUCGCUCGACAGUCGUGAUUCGGAAAGGUGAGCAGAGGCGUGAACAAGGUGCAAGCACCGAUCGUUUAAAAUUCAAUGAUACUUCGGCACGCUAUCGAUAUGCACGCUUCAUAUCGCGCCUCUAAUCGACUCGUUCUAUUCCUCCUCGACUCGAUAGACGUACAAUGCGGUGCACAAUGGGCGCACAAUGGCAUGAAAACACGUAUAUAAAUCGCGCAUUAUGUGUCGUAUUUUAUGUGUCCAUAGUAUAUAGUAAAUACGUUUCGCGCGUUACCCUUUCCUUUAGGCUUUCCUUUCGCUCACUGCCACAAUUGUUGCCGAUAAACGAGUCUUCGCCACAUUGUGCCAAUGUCGUUUCUCGCCAAUCGCUCGACAUUGUAAUUUUCUCAAGAUGCAAAAAAAAGUUGUGUUCUGAACUAUUCUAUAAUUUACAAUAGUAUUACAUGCAAUAGUAUCUUGUACGUUGAACUAAUCUUGAUAAAUAUUUUCUGUAAAAAUGUCACUAUUUUCUUUAACAAAUUAACAAUUAAUAAAGAAUAAACUGUACUCAUGAGUGGCAUGAAACAUAAAUGUAUACCAUCUUUUUCUAUAAAUAAAUAAAUGUAAGAAAGUGAUUUUAAGUAUCACUGAAAAAAGAAAUAUUAAUUUCAUUACGCUAUGUAUAAAAAAAUGUUCUGCCAAAUCGAAAACAUAAUCCUUUUAAGCAAUAUAAAUAAAUAAAAUGCGUUAAAACGAAACACAAUUUAAUAUUAUCAAUAAAUAAAGUCUUGCCUUUUCGUAAUACAAAUCCGAUCGUAGACUUCUUAUUAAAUUCGCGGCGAAUUGAAUUUUCCCGUUAGCCUCGUGUUUCUCGUAGGCGCCGUAGAAAACUUCGUCCUCUAUAAAGCCCCCGAGUUUUCCUCCGCGAAAGAAAGUUCCGCAACGUCUCGCUUCAGCGCUGAACUUGGUAAUAAAAUAAUUAUUUUCAAACGACCUCAAACUUCGAUCACCAUGACCUAUUCUUUCUUCAAAUUUGAUGAUAUUAUCAAAUAUAAAGUUAAAAAAUAUAUAUAUUUAGAUCCAUAACAAUUCUUUAAAAUCAUAAUAACAGCAUCAUGUUAUAAUCAAAAUCUUCGUCUAAUUCUUUUUUACAUAUAUUUGUGAUAGAAAUUAAAAAAAAAUACAAUUUUAAGAGAAUUGUUCGUAAAGAAGUUCUUCCAUACUGCAAAAUAAUAACAAGAUAGAACUUAGAUUGAAUUGAUAUAGAAAUUUGUGCUGUACGUUAUUAUUAUUCGUUAUUUCGUAUUUCCAAUUCUUAUCACUUAGUAUUUUCGAAACAUUUAAAUUUUGGUACAGAGUAUAGCAUUUAUUCCAAUUAAUAAUGAGAAAAAAAAAAGAUUAAUGGAAUAACCCCAUUAGUUUCUUUUCUCUUUUUAAAGAGACGUGACACAUUAAUAACGUUUUCAUCAAUAUCGGAAACGUAGCUUUAGAGGGUACUAAGAGAAAUUUCCACUUUUGGCAUACGUCCAGAGGCUCGAUUGGUCGAGAAGAGCCGCACGUGUACGCAGGCAUGCAUGGCGCAGCUGGUUUGUACGCAAGCUUGCACUGUAGUCAGAGCAUAUUUAUGGAUUAGCAUACAAUGGUGGUGUUUAUUAAAGAUUCCUCGAAGGUUCCCACCUUUGACGCCGCCUCCGCGCUUCUUCACCGUUCUUGAGAAGCAUGAUGCCCUCCUCUCAGAAGCUUUUGCGUGUCUUCUCGAAAUGAUCUGAUCACGAGAGCAGUUUACAUUCUAUCUAGGCUAUUACGGUCAUUUUGAUUUUAUCAUCGAGCGUAGAGAUAUAGUAUUUUAAAAUAAUAUAUCGCUAUAUCCAAUCUUCAUAGGUUCUUUUUACCGUUGUAAAAACCGUUGCAAUCGUUUUACUUUUACUAUGUACAUAAAUAUUAAAAAUAUUCUCAUAACAACAGUAUGAAAAAUAAAUAUGCAUUAACUUUAUACAUAAUGUAUUAACAGAUAAUAAUAUACAACGCAUCGUGAGAUAAAAUAUAAUUAUAAUAUCGAAUGUCUUUACAGUUACGUAGUUAUAAUUCUUUGAUGUGAGAAUAAUUGGCUUUUACUAGAGAUUGAAUUUCAAAAUUAAAUUUCAAAAUUUUUCCCUCGUAUCGAUUUGUACAUAGUAUUUUAUUCAAAGUGUUAACAAGAGUGACCUUGUAAUUUUAGUGCAAAUAGAAUAUCAUCCAUUGGCAUGCAAGCGAAAAAAAUAUGUUUGCUGCAUCGAGAUUGACAGCUAGCUUCACUAGACCGAGAAUCCGUUAUGCAUUAUUCGACUGGCAGCUUUCCUCGAAUCGACACUUAACCAGAAGAGCGUAGAGAGCGCGGGCCGCCGAAGAACGGCAUAAAGAAGGCCGGCUUCAUCGGAAGCGGCUUGCAAGAAGGUACGGUACAGUGUUCCGAGACGAGAUCCCUAAGAAAAGGGAACCUAUCGGGCCAAGCAGCCGUCUCGAAUGCUCGUUUUGGUCAGCGGAGAUUCAUUCUCAUGCAACUUCAGCCACGAGACUUACUUGGAAGCACUGUGUACGUGUGACCACGUCCUAACUCUACUAGAAGUUCAGCGAAGGAAGCACUGGACGCGCUCCUUCCUCUCUCUCUCUCUCUCUCUUUCAGCGAGAUUCUGUCUUUAUUUAGAUUUGUAUUCGCAAUGCUUUAGUCUUAUCAAAUAAUAUCAAAAUUUUUGUAAUGAUGUUGCAAAAAAGGUAAAACAAUUUGUUUAAAUAUGACAUAAUUAUAGGUAUUAAGAAGAUAUUUUGUCGUAAUUAUUCCGUGUUAUGUAAGUAGAGAUAUAUCUAAUAGUAAAAUAGUAGAAAUCUCGACAAGACAAUUUUAAACAGUUUGUAAAUUUUUAUAUAAUUUUCAAAUGAUCGUUUUUACGUUUGUCUUUUAUUAGAAAUUUUGUUAUUUCAGUUUAUUAAUUUUCAAACUUUUUUCUCUCUCUCUCUCUCUUCGUUUUAAUCACCAAUCAUUAUUUUUCAUACCAUGACGCGUUGUAAAUUCAUUGCUGACAGCAAAAGCUAUCUCUUAGAUAUCUCAUACAUCAUAUGCUUACAUAAUGUUUCUACGAAGCAUUUAUUUAUAGUUAAGCGGUAUAUAGAACUAGCUGCCGGCUAUUAAGAACUAAUUAAACUUAUGGUAUCGCGCCUCGUAUCUUUCCACUCUCUUAUUUACCGCCCGAUAGUGAUUAUCGAAAUUUUAUCUUUGUUACCGUUUGUCGAAAUUUUUUCCUCAGAAUUUUUCGAGUGAGUCAGAUUCUUUCAACUCGGAGUUAUUUAGCUAUUUCAAAAUGUCCAAGAUUAAGAAAACAUAACAGGAUAUAACUAAUGGCACAUCGGACGCCAACGUUUUCAAUAAGAAGAUAAGCGAGUCUGGGUAAGAAGUGAUCAAACGAUCGUCUGCUCGGCUAAUAAGGAUUGAGGUUUUCUUCCGCGCGCGGUCCACGCCUCUUUCUCAUGACAUUAGGGUCGCCCGAGAACCAUAAGAGCGACGCCAAAGUGGGACGUUGAUAGAUAGAUCCCCGACAUUCGUGUUCCGCGUCGACCGCGCUCGGACGUACAGCGCCGCGAUCACCCAUUAAUUAUUACAUAAAUACGUAUAGAUUAAUAAUUAUACGCAUUAAUAACGGCGCUCGUGGGGUUACGAGACGCCGCAUAGGUAGCCGCAUGACGCCGACGCCGACGCCGACGACUGGCGGUGAAUGUCGCUGUAACGGGUGUUCUAAAUGUCAGCCACGCUUCACGACGAAAUUACGUGCUGAGCACUUUUUCUAACUUUCAAAACCGCUCAGUGUGCCCGUACAAGGCGUUUUUAAGGUCAUCGGGGCAAUUAUAUCGGCCGGUAAUCACAAGCGCGCUAGGCAACGGCCAUUAAGCCCGAUGCGCAUCGGUGUUCUCGUUAAUAAGUACACGAUCUAAUUACUCGCGGAUGAUAACCGUCGACACAGCAAUUCCUAAGGCGUGAUUAAUACGUGUGUUUACGGAAAUGAAAAUUUCAUCGAAUAUAGCACUACAUCGGCACCAUUACUGAAGUCCGUUUUUUUCUUUUUUUUUCCCCCAGCAUCCCACAUUCGACGUCAUAAAUAGACGAUACGUGGUAACGACGGGCACGUUGUUUCUCGGGUUAAAAAAUAUACGCUAGCCUUUUAUUGGCGCGAUUGCAUCUAUGGUAUAUGCCUACGUUUGAUAUCUCUUCGUAUCGAACGGUCUCAUCCUUUACAUUUUAUUGCCGCAAUUAGAACAGUGACACAAGCCAAAAAUAUAAAUUUUACAAAACAGUCCGUACUCGAUCGUCUCGCAUUCCACUGAAUUUUAUUAUUAUAACCGAACGGCAAACUGAAUAAAAUACGUAUGAGAUGUGAAACAUAAAUCGGCACAAUCACAAGUUUAUGCAAUCCAUAUGUUUGUUUAUUUUUUUUGUAAAAAAGAAUGUUCAUAUCUCUUCCACGUGUUGCAAUUCGCGCAGACAUGCGCUUUUCCUAGUUAUUCUCUCAUUUUUCUCGGUAUAGCAAUAAAAAUUCCGUUUCUCGGCGAGACUGCAGUCACUUUAAGACACACCUCGCUCGCGCUCGUCAGCAGCCUUAAGACGGCAAGCCAACGCGCCGAUGGAAUGCAGAAGCGAAAUUAGUAUCGCUGUCGUCACAAGCGCUUUCUCGCCACUUACAAGCUGUGAUGCUUUUUUAUCGCUCUUGUUCCCUUACGAUAUCGUUGAAGAGGCAGUACCAGCACAUGCAAUUAUCUAAAUGAAAACGCGACGCCGUCGGAAAGAUGAAUAUUUAAAGGGCGAUUUAACGGCAUUGUUUAAUUUCAAUAUUUUCCAAUCUUCCAACUGGUCUUCCUUUCAUUUUUCAAAAAUACGUAACGUAUUAUUUAAAACUAAAAUUAUUUUAGAUUACCAUUGCACGAAAUGUUAUACAUUUCAUUCACAUAUUUAUAUUUUUGAUCAUUUCUUUGAUUAAUGAAAUCAAAGUGCUAUAGAUUUUUUAAUAACGUAUAUUUGAAUAAACUUGCAUAUCACGUACAUAGUCUAAUAAAAACUGCUCCUAAACAUUUUCAGAAAACGAAAAGUCUUAAUCCGGAAAGCACAAAAAACAAAACAAAAUCUUUUAAAUAGCGUUUAGGGCGAGGUUUAGGGUUAAUAAGGUAAGUGCAAGUCGUCUUUUACUGCUUCCAGUGCUUAAAUGAAAGCUAUUGACGCUCGAUCCAGGUUACAGAACUCAUCGUGGAAGUACCCGUUGUAUUGCGUGAGUUCCAGAAGCGCAAAACGCAUUUGUCGAUUUGCACCGAGGAUGUGUCAAUAUUGACGUUGCUCUUGGGGAACAUGUUCUCCACGGGCGGCUUGUGUCUCCUCGAGUCCUGAAGGACCACCGACGGUGCGAGUGAGACAGGCAGAAGAAAGAGUGCGAGAAUGAGACGGCGCAAGAGGGAGAGAGAGAAAGAAA